UUUGUAGGUUCAUUAAUCAAGCCUUGGCAGAAGAACUUGACAAGUUUCCAACAAUUAAAGAUCCAAAUCACGAAAUUGCAUUUCAAUUAUUUGUGAAAGGAUAUCAAUUGCUAG
RNAcentral lists this ribosomal RNA (114 nucleotides) under Triticum aestivum (bread wheat). RNAcentral's name for it is "partial small subunit ribosomal RNA". Lineage: Eukaryota; Viridiplantae; Streptophyta; Magnoliopsida; Poales; Poaceae. The record is from RNAcentral.